AUGGAUUAAAUUGGUAACGUCCGG
Molecule: non-coding RNA, 24 nt
Filed under: Arabidopsis thaliana (thale cress)
Lineage: Eukaryota; Viridiplantae; Streptophyta; Magnoliopsida; Brassicales; Brassicaceae
Source: RNAcentral